GCUCGUAGGUGGUUUGUCGCGUUGUUCGUGAAAUCUCACGGCUUAACUGUGAGCGUGCGGGCGAUACGGGCAGACUUGAGUACUGCAGGGGAGACUGGAAUUCCUGGUGUAGCGGUGGAAUGCGCAGAUAUCAGGAGGAACACCGGUGGCGAAGGCGGGUCUCUGGGCAGUAACUGACGCUGAGGAGCGAAAGCGUGGGGAGCGAACAGGAUUAGAUACCCUGGUAGUCCACGCCGUAAACGGUGGGUACUAGGUGUGGGUUUCCUUCCUUGGGAUCCGUGCCGUAGCUAACGCAUUAAGUACCCCGCCUGGGGAGUACGGCCGCAAGGCUAAAACUCAAAGAAAUUGACGGGGGCCCGCACAAGCGGCGGAGCAUGUGGAUUAAUUCGAUGCAACGCGAAGAACCUUACCUGGGUUUGACAUGCACAGGACGCCGGCAGAGAUGUCGGUUCCCUUGUGGCCUGUGUGCAGGUGGUGCAUGGCUGUCGUCAGCUCGUGUCGUGAGAUGCUGGGUUAAGUCCCGCAACGAGCGCAACCCUUGUCUCAUGUUGCCAGCGGGUAAUGCCGGGGACUCGUGAGAGACUGCCGGGGUCAACUCGGAGGAAGGUGGGGAUGACGUCAAGUCGUCAUGCCCCUUAUGUCCAGGGCUUCACACAUGCUACAAUGGCCGGUACAAAGGGCUGCGAUGCCGCGAGGUUAAGCGAAUCCUUUUAAAGCCGGUCUCAGUUCGGAUCGGGGUCUGCAACUCGACCCCGUGAAGUCGGAGUCGCUAGUAAUCGCAGAUCAGCAACGCUGCGGUGA
This 801-nucleotide ribosomal RNA is filed under the name uncultured bacterium. RNAcentral's name for it is "bacterial SSU rRNA". It matches the Rfam family "Bacterial small subunit ribosomal RNA", at positions 567 to 1365 of the family's 1533-position model. The record is from RNAcentral.